Molecule: long non-coding RNA, 619 nt
Organism: Anopheles funestus (African malaria mosquito)
Lineage: Eukaryota; Metazoa; Arthropoda; Insecta; Diptera; Culicidae
Exons: 3
Source: RefSeq, a predicted model, not a curated record
AAAUGAAGUAGAAACAUUCUUUUCCGUACGUACGUGCGCGCUGUGUGGUUGUAAUCCGGGACGACGAAAUCUUGUAGAAGAUGGAACAUUUUGAAUCACGAUAUUACAUUCAUUACCAACCCGGGUGAUGCUAUUUUUUAACCGUCCUACUUGAGGGUUAAGCACGUUACAUUUGCGAGUAAAAAUGUGUUGAAAUAUCUGGAUAUGGAUCAAGCUGCGGCUUUAAGGUUAGCCCGGUGCCUUCCGGUAAAUACACGCCAAGCCACAUAGUUCACAGACAUUCUGCAAUGAGAUAUUGGAACGGCACAAUCUUGCUGAAGAUUGAUCUUCUUGCUUUACGGGAUCACCAUCAUCAUCGACGAACAAAUCGCAUCGUGGAAAAGCCGAGAAGAUGUGGCUAAUUUGGAAAACGAAUGUUAUGGCCAAUAGCAUCGCCUUAUGCCGCAGGAAGCUCAACAGAAUCGGUUGAAUUUGGAAAAUGUAUGCAGUCCUUGUUCCUGUCAGCAAUAAGUUCCUGAAACGGAAGUCGCAAUGAAAUCGAUCCUCUCGAUGCCAGCUACAACAACAGGUUUUGCAUGUGAUAAAACAUAAGAAAAUAAAAACUACAGUUACAUACAAA